AUUGAACGCUGGCGGCAUGCUUUACACAUGCAAGUCGAACGGCAGCACAGGGAGCUUGCUCCUGGGUGGCGAGUGGCGAACGGGUGAGUAAUGUAUCGGAACGUGCCUGGUAGUGGGGGAUAACUACUCGAAAGAGUGGCUAAUACCGCAUGAGAUCUUUGGAUGAAAGCGGGGGACCUUCGGGCCUCGUGCUACUGGAGCGGCCGAUAUCAGAUUAGGUUGUUGGUGGGGUAAAGGCCUACCAAGCCUGCGAUCUGUAGCUGGUCUGAGAGGACGACCAGCCACACUGGGACUGAGACACGGCCCAGACUCCUACGGGAGGCAGCAGUGGGGAAUGUUGGACAAUGGGCGCAAGCCUGAUCCAGCAAUGCCGCGUGCAGGACGAAGGCCUUCGGGUUGUAAACUGCUUUUGUACAGAACGAAAAGUCUCUGGCUAAUAUCUAGAGAUCAUGACGGUACUGUAAGAAUAAGCACCGGCUAACUACGUG
Molecule: ribosomal RNA, 488 nt
Filed under: uncultured bacterium
Lineage: Bacteria
Description: partial 16S ribosomal RNA
Rfam family: Bacterial small subunit ribosomal RNA
Source: RNAcentral